UCAGAAUGAACGCUGGCGGCAUGGCUAAGACAUGCAAGUCGAACGGACCAUAUAAUUGGGUAACCGAAAGUAUGGUUAGUGGCAAAAGGGUGAGGAAUAGAUAGGAACGUACCCUGUGCUCUGGGAUAGCGUCUGAAGCUUCGGCUUCUUCCGAAAGGGGCGGUAAUACCAGAUAAUGUCCUUCGGGACCAAAGAUUUAUCGGCAUUGGAGCGGCCUAUCUCCUAUCAGCUUGUUGGUGAGGUAACGGCUCACCAAGGCAACGACGGGUAGCGGGACUGAGAGGUUGGCCCGCCACAUCGGGACUGAGACACUGCCCGGACCUCCACGGAGGGCUGCAGUAACGGAUAUUGGGCAAUGGGCGAAAGCCUGACCCAGCAAUGCCGCGUGCAGGAUGAAGCCCCUAGGGGUGUAAACUGCUGUCAGGGGUCAGAAAGCUGGUUUCGGCCAGUUGAUCAACCCCAGAGGAAGUCACGGCUAACUUCGUGCCAGCAGCCGCGGUAAUACGAAGGUGGCAAGCGUUAUUCGGAAUCAUUGGGCUUAAAGGGCACGCAGGCGGAACAGUGUGUGUUGUGUGAAAUCCCCCGGCUUAACCGGGGAAUUGCACAGCAAACUGCUGUUCUUGAGGCAGGUAGGGGUGCAUGGAACUCUUGGUGGAGCGGUGGAAUGCGUAGAUAUCAAGAGGAACGCCAGAGGUGAAGACGGUGCACUGGGCCUGUCCUGACGCUGAGGUGCGAAAGCGUGGGGAGCGAACGGGAUUAGAUACCCCGGUAGUCCACGCCGUAAACGAUGUCUACUAGGUCGUGGGUGUUCUGACACAUUCACGGCCGGAGCAAAAGUGUUUAGUAGACCGCCUGGGGAGUACGGCCGCAAGGUUAAAACUCAAAUGAAUUGACGGGGGC
RNAcentral lists this ribosomal RNA (900 nucleotides) under uncultured organism. RNAcentral describes it as "bacterial SSU rRNA". It matches the Rfam family "Bacterial small subunit ribosomal RNA", at positions 24 to 920 of the family's 1533-position model. The record is from RNAcentral.